RNAcentral lists this ribosomal RNA (445 nucleotides) under uncultured bacterium. Its description in RNAcentral is "partial 16S ribosomal RNA". It matches the Rfam family "Bacterial small subunit ribosomal RNA", at positions 354 to 796 of the family's 1533-position model. The record is from RNAcentral.
GUGAGGAAUAUUGGUCAAUGGACGAGAGUCUGAACCAGCCAAGUCGCGUGAAGGAAGACGGUUCUAUGAAUUGUAAACUUCUUUUGUGCAGGAAUAAAGUGGGUUACGUGUAACCUUUUGUAUGUACUGUACGAAUAAGGAUCGGCUAACUCCGUGCCAGCAGCCGCGGUAAUACGGAGGAUCCGAGCGUUAUCCGGAUUUAUUGGGUUUAAAGGGUGCGUAGGUGGAUUGAUAAGUCAGCGGUGAAAGUUUGCAGCUUAACUGUAAAAUUGCAGUUGGAACUGUCGGUCUUGAGUGCAAAUGAGGUAGGCGGAAUGUGUUGUGUAGCGGUGAAAUGCUUAGAUAUAACACAGAACUCCGAUUGCGAAGGCAGCUUACUGGGAUGCAACUGACACUGAUGCACGAAAGCGUGGGUAUCAAACAGGAUUAGAAACCCUUGUAGUCC